This 74-nucleotide ribozyme is filed under the name Oscillibacter sp. 1-3. Its description in RNAcentral is "Pistol ribozyme". It matches the Rfam family "Pistol ribozyme". The record is from Rfam by way of RNAcentral. Lineage: Bacteria; Bacillati; Bacillota; Clostridia; Eubacteriales; Oscillospiraceae.
GCUCGUCUGGGCGAGGGUAAAUAGUAAUUAGGCCCAGAGCGUCCCGGCUCCUGGUUCGCCGGUCGGGGGUUUAG